Molecule: long non-coding RNA, 1948 nt
Organism: Helianthus annuus (common sunflower)
Lineage: Eukaryota; Viridiplantae; Streptophyta; Magnoliopsida; Asterales; Asteraceae
Exons: 10
Source: RefSeq, a predicted model, not a curated record
UCAGAACAUAAAACCCUAAAACUACUGCACUCUAAUCUUACACCCACACACAUAUGGAAUAUGGAGAGGAGACCUGGUGAUGGUUCCCGCGUAGCGAUGACGGUGGUGAUUAGAAACCCUAGCCGUUCAACCCAUUUCAUGAAACAAAUCGUGAGAGAAAAAGACGAGCCGGAGAAUCAAGAGAGAUGGAGAUGGUUGUUGGCGACGGCAGACGCGGCGGAGGCCAUUCUGUGUGGGUAACUACGACGGUAGCGAUGUUUUCGGCGGCGGCUAGGGUUCAAUUCCGACCACGGUAAGUUUUCAGUUCCGAUUGGGUUUAAGACUUGCAGAUCGGCCAGCAAUCCUCUUGGCCCUCGGGUUAAACCUGUGGUGAUGGUCUGGUGACCGUGACCGUUCUGGGUUCUAGGGUUCCGGCGAGGGUACCGGUGUCUCUCAUCAGACGAUCUAGAGACAGAAUGGGAAACUUGAAGUCGAUCUCGAACAACCGCAACGUCAGAGACUUGAACCAGUGUUCCGGCGAGAAUUCAGGUUUCAUAUUCAAAGUAUUAUCUACCAUUAUGGUUGGAAGAAACUAGAUGUGCAGAAUGGUUCAGGUGUCGGUGUAGGCUAUCUCGACAUUUGCAUAGGCUACGCCGGGUUAUUUUUCAUUCAAUGUGUUCGCAAGUUUAAAAUUUAAUUAAAUCUUUUAUGUGUUAUGCAACUAUACUAAUGCUUUUGCACCUUCAUUUCUUGAUGCACCGGUCAAUGAUGGCUGUGAAUUAUUUCAUCUGUUUUUUUUUUUACUCUCAGAAGGCUGGUGGUACAAUUGAUCUUGAACCUUGUCUUACACAUACGUCAACUGUGGAACCUACUCUUGCUCCUGUGGUUGUGGAACGUACCAUGACUACUAGAGCCGCAGCUUCGAAUGCGCUUCGUCAACAAAGAUUUGUGCAUGAAGUUACAUUACAAUACAACCUUUGCAAUGAACCUUGGAUUAAGUAUAGUAUAAGUGCCAUCGCAGACAAAGGUCCGAAGAAGCCUCUAUUUACCUCUGCUCGAUUGAAAAAGGGCGAAGUUCUGUACCUGAAAAGUCCUACACAAAGGUUUGAGCUUUGUUUUAAUGGAGAGAAGAUGGUGAAGUCGGGAAAUGAAACGGAUACGAAUGGCGUGGACAGUGAUAAUAACAACAAUAACAAUAACAGUAAUAACAAUAUGAUGGAUGUAUUCAGAUGGUCUUUGUGUAAGAAGCCUCUUCCUCAGACGCUUAUGUGCUCCAUCGGCAUCCCUUUGCCGCCUGAAUAUCUAAAGCUUAUUGGGUCGAUUUGAUGUAUGACGGUGUUUGAUGUGCUGUUAUCCGGGGACGAUCAGGUGGUGUCGGAGUAACAUAAUUUAGAGUAAUUUUGCAGGUCAUUUCUCAAUCCGGUUGGCAUGCUUCAUACUACACUUUAUCUAUGGUGUCGAGGCUUCUGUUUGCGACGUUCUCACCGUUAUCGCCGUUCAGAUGUCGUCGUCAUCGGUCGUUUGGGUGGUGUCAAUUUAUAUGAAUCAUAAAUAAUUAGAUGAUAAAUUGUGUUAAUUAAGCAACUUUAAAGUGUUAUAAGAAGGGGAUGAGUACUUGUCAUACAAAGAGACCUCGGAUUGCAAGCUAGAGUUGUUGGUGAAUUGCUCCAACCUGGUGGCCACAUAAAAUUGAUGCAACUGGAUUUAGAAGAUUGUGUAGAGAACAUAGAUGCUCAAAAGGAGAUGUUUCAGGUAGAUGUUUUUACAAUGGCGAUUUGUCCAGCGGAUUACAGUUGCAUUCUGUAACGGAAUAUACAAAAACGAACUGCCACAAAAUUUUGUACGGUUCAACGCUUAUUGUGUAGAAUAACAGAGCAAAUGAUGUUUUUAAUUAGAUCACAUAAUGUAAACCACCACUACAAGAACAAUCUUCAAUGAUGAUUUAGCAAUUCAAUUGACUUGAAUGGUU